GAUCAUGGCUCAGGAUGAACGCUAGCUACAGGCUUAACACAUGCAAGUCGAGGGGCAGCAUUGGAGUAGCAAUACUCAGAUGGCGACCGGCGCACGGGUGAGUAACACGUAUCCAACCUGCCGCUUACUCGGGGAUAGCCUUUCGAAAGAAAGAUUAAUACCCGAUGGUAUAAAGAGUUCGCAUGUUCUCUUUAUUAAAGAAUUUCGGUAAGCGAUGGGGAUGCGUUCCAUUAGAUAGUUGGCGGGGUAACGGCCCACCAAGUCUACGAUGGAUAGGGGUUCUGAGAGGAAGGUCCCCCACAUUGGAACUGAGACACGGUCCAAACUCCUACGGGAGGCAGCAGUGAGGAAUAUUGGUCAAUGGACGAGAGUCUGAACCAGCCAAAGUAGCGUGAAGGAUGACUGCCCUAUGGGUUGUAAACUUCUUUUAUAAGGGAAUAAAGUGAGGGACGUGUCCCUUUUUGUAUGUACCUUAUGAAUAAGGAUCGGCUAACUCCGUGCCAGCCGCGGC
RNAcentral lists this ribosomal RNA (511 nucleotides) under uncultured bacterium. RNAcentral's name for it is "bacterial SSU rRNA". It matches the Rfam family "Bacterial small subunit ribosomal RNA", at positions 15 to 518 of the family's 1533-position model. The record is from RNAcentral.